UACAAGAUAUCCUAAUACAAUAUACUAUAAUUAAAUAAUGUAAUAUAGCGUGUCAAACAUAUCAUAAUGGCUAACUUCUCCUUUCUCUCAUAACUCUCCUUAAAUUUGUUUUAAAAAAUUUAAUUAAUUAUUUAUGUGAGCCAUUGAGUAAUGAUAACCCUCGCCCUCAACAUAUGUUGAAGGCAUAGAUUUAAGUCUCUAUGAAGAUGUUAUUUUUUCAAAUUCUAUAAAACAAAACCUCUCUUCAUUCAUAAGACUAGAUUUCUGUGAUAAUAUUCAAUACAACUCUAAAUCAUGUUAACAAAAUAUUUAUAUAUAAACUCUAAUAUAUUUUAGAUUGUAUAUAUUUAAUAGGCAAUAACAUCAUCGAUCAAAACUUUUUCUAUCUAAAAAUUUUUCUGCAGUCAAAUCAAGUCCCCAUCAAUAAGAUGCUUAACCGACACUCGAAAUUCCAUGAAUCAUUCAUGGAGUAUCGAAAGGUCAUUUCACAUUGAGGCCCCAUAGGCAUUUGCCUAUACCAAAACAGCACUUUCCCUGUUUGACCUUUUCUUUUUCGUUGUCCUCAAAAUGCACAAAAUUCACAAAUUUUCGUCACCAUGCCAUGCCACAAGCCCACUUCUAUCGACAAGAAUAGGCUCGUCUUUAUUUUGUCCCUCCUAAGCUUGUUUUACGUUCGUCCAAGCACAUAUUAAAAUUUACACAUUAGUCGAAAAUGAAAUGAAAAAAAUUACUAACAAUAACAAAAAGGUGGGCUCUACUCUAUAGUCAUAAAUAUACCACAAUUUUUAUACUACUGGACAUUUGGUUUGUUUCUGCUUGGUAGCAAAACGCUCCACCUAUUAAUUUGUUCCAUUAAUUAAUUUGUUGCCAUCAGUAAUUAGAAGAAGGGAUUGAGAUUUAAUUUUGAAACAUGCUUUAAAGUUAAAAAAGAGAUGAAACGUAAACACGAAUAAUCAAAAAAAGACGACAGCCAGUCAGCCACCACAAGACAAACUCCUUUCUGUCCUGGUACGGUACAUCUGUCGUGGCCACUGGCCACGCGCAUUUUUCUACGUAGCCCUGCUCCUCGAACGACGCGUGUAUCCACGCUGAACGGAAGCACGUUCUGUAUAAGUCACAGCCAGGUGUCUUUAGCAUGCGCAUGCGUUGAGACGCUCCCUUCUAAAAUUCACCGUUUCACCGCUAGGCUUCGGCUUUUGUUGAUUUUCACUUAGCUUAAUGAAAAUAGUAUUUUAUCCAACAAUCUGAAUGUAUAUACUUACGGCUAUGUGUGUGCGUGUGUGUAUACAAUUUAACCGAAAUUUUUCCAGGCAAUGGAACAAAAUUCAUGUGGUUGUAAAAUGGAGAAAAGUAAAUGGAAGGAAAAUUCAAAAGAUCUCUUGAAAGCUGUGAAUGGUCAAAUUGGGAGAAAGAAUCCAAUGACGCCCCCUCUCCAACUAACCCCCCCCACCCAAAAAAAAAAAAGAAGAGGAAACACUUGAUCCUGUCCAUUUAGGCAUUACGGCAAAAGUACAGUUUACCCCCUCAACCGUUAGAAAUUAAUAUAAGCUUUUUUUUCUUAACA
This 1564-nucleotide long non-coding RNA is filed under the name Citrus x clementina. RNAcentral describes it as "Citrus clementina (C. clementina) long non-coding RNA (CCLE_LNC003508)". The record is from RNAcentral. Lineage: Eukaryota; Viridiplantae; Streptophyta; Magnoliopsida; Sapindales; Rutaceae.